AACAGCUUCAAAGACCACUGAUAACGGCCAAUCGCCGCCUUUGCAGGAAGCGAUGCAGUAACCUCGCGGCGCGAGUAGCUACGGACAAAACUGAAUGAUGACAUCAGUUAGCGGCAUUCUGCCACACGCCACCGAGCGAUACAGGUUGACUUAUUCUCGCAUUGACACUGAUACAACGGAGGUACGGAAUGUGAGGGAGACAUAUAUUUAAAGAUCGUGCAAGUUUCGCUACUCGAUCUAAGCCAACAUAGUGUCAAUGAGUAGCAUUGAUAAUCCUGUUUUGGAUUACAUCUGGAAUUCAAUCCUGUGAAUUCAAAUUCCUGUAUUUGAUUGAACAGGUCACAUUCGAGGACACUAGUUUUUACCAUAGCAUUUCACUUCACCCCAGUCUGGAGCAGGCCUACUCUCCAUGAAUAUUCAGUUUCCAUUCUAUACAGCAUUUUAAUUUGCUUGAAAACUGAUUAUAUCAUAUAUGUUGAAAGUUGGACAGUGUGUGCUUUCUCCUCAUCAGAGUGUCGUUCUGAAAGGUUAGUGGUGUAUAAUUAGAUGUUCCAUUCAUGCACAUGACGGUUUGACUUUCACCAAUCAUUAUCGGAUCAAGUUGGAUGUGGAUGUGAUCGGCAUACAUUGAAGGAUUACCAAGACGAUAUUUUCGCUAUGCAAAGCCAAACUGUCGCGCCUGAAUUUGGAUCGUAAUGCGGUGGAGUAGUAACGACUUUGGGAUCAUCGUUGCAAUGGUUUUGUCUCUUUUGCCACGAAAAGGUUGGGCAAUAGCGUGUUACGAGUGCGUCACAUUGGAGGACCCGGCGUGCGCUGAUCCGUUCAACCCGUGGAAGUUUAACCCAGUAAUAUGCAAAGGUGAUGGCAGUGACGGCGAGGUGAAGUGUGCGAGUCAAAAAGAACAUUCUUCCUCAAACUCGAUCGCCCAUGUACAAAGAGGGUGCUACGUCAGUGGACAAUUACAAGGCCUGAAUGACAGCAAUGGCUGCCGACUGUGGACCAAUCAGCAGGGCGACUAUACAGCUUUAUACUGCUUCUGUAGCACAGACUAUUGUAACGGAUCAGUCUCGUCCCAUUGCACGACAUUCUACCUAACUGUAGUUGCUUUAAUACUGAACCAUUUAGCGAGGUUGGCUUCCUAGGAUUAACCACAGUGCGCAUGCUCCAUCAUCAUCUACGUCAUCAAAGUUACCGACAGACGUUUUGUCUGAGGUGGCUUUUGCCUCAUGCUGAUUUUAUAUGGAUUCAUCACGUCACGAAGAAUGGUGGUUUUUUGUGUGUGCCAUUCUAUUUGUGCGUGCCUUUACCGAACAUUCAUCAUCAUAGGGUACGAUUCCGUUGAGAGGAUGAGCCUUCUUUCGGUGAACUUCAGGGGUAGGUUAUGGAAAGUUGUCCGAGGUUGCUACACAGGUGGUCAAAUCCCGAGCCUGAAUUGGACGAACGGUUGCCGUGAUUGGACGAAUGAUGUCGGCUAUACUGCCCUCUAUUGUUUCUGUGAUAAAGACAUGUGCAACGCUUCGAAAAGAACCUGUACUGUAACGGAACACUUUCUGCUUGCUCUGGUGAUGGCUUGGAAACUUUUAAUGGCCAUGUGAGAUAUAGAGAAAAUAAGACUAAGAUUUUGCACGACUCGGUCGGAAAUCCGUCUGUACGGACCUAAACUCAUCAAUAUGAAUGGUUCCCCGGCCUGUUGAUGGCGAAAUUAGACACAAAUCUAACUAAUUUUUACAAGAAAAUCUACCAAAAGAAGAAAACGUCUUCAGUGGACAUAACUGGUUAAAAAUAUUAUUGCUGUGGUGUGUAAGUUCUGUUCAGCUUAAUGUGGUCUGCGCAUAAGACGGUGAGAAACCACGCACUACUUUCAAGAUGGCAGCACUAUAUUUAAUCAGUGCUUUUGUCUGUUACUCUUGUUCGGUUGUUCCCCUUUGUGACGAAUCGUUGGUCUGACAGUGUAAUCUAAAGUAUCCUAGUCGCUGUAGCAUUGUUCUCUGCUUAUAUUCAUUAGACCUCGUUUCGGCGCUAAUGGUCUAGUCGUCAUAACCAUAACCGCUUGGCUGGUGUAACAUUUUGAACCAGCUGAAACGCCACCGCUGGCGCAUUUUGAUUCGUUUGAGUGUAAUAGAGAUAUAUUGGUACCUCCGUCUCUCCAUAGGCGCCGCUCGGGUGGCGCUGUUCUUUUUUCACGAAAUUCAAGAUAAGAUUUUAAGGGGACUUUAGUUGAGGUCUUCUUCGUCUCUGUUUAUACACCUUUCCAGAAAUGGGGCGCUGAGUGUCCGAAAUAGAGAUGUCAUAAGGGGAAACUAGGCCUCAUGGUGGAGGGACAAAGGAGAUGGUCAUGGUUGACCAACACACUUGAGUGCCUUUAAUGACGGCAAGGGGGAAAAAGUCAGUUCCGAUGCAAGCCACCAAUUUGGGAAGCAUGUAUAAGUAUACUCGUUUUAAGAUUGUUGUAAGACAUUUAGUUAGGAUCUUAACACGAUCUUGUAACGAAUGUACUUGCGCAUUGACACGAAAUUGAACAAAGAAUCUUAUAUCUUGAUUUUCGACCUGGUCUAGUUCCAUUCUCGGGGAGCAAGGCGAGCUAAACGAUACUUCUAGUAUGGAUUUAAUCCCUGAAUAGUAUGGAUAAUGCACUGUCUGAUAUGCCCGUCAUCGAAGCCAAUUAACAUUUGUACAAAUAUGUAUUAGCACUGUCUAAUCUUAUGGUUUAACCCAGUUCUAGGUUAGAGAAAAAAUUAUUGACUCUCGUUUUAAUUUAAUACAUCUAUUAGGUCAAGGGUUGGGAUUGUAUAAUACAUGUAUUAGAUUUAAAGCCUUACGUCGUGCGUUGAAAAUUUGAAUCAAUUUGAAAAUUUCCCAAUUGCGUAUAUACAUGUACGUACUGCACUGUAAAACAUCUCCCCGUAAAUUUUACGGGAGAAGAACAGCAGCUCAACUGCCGACAAAAAAACCUAAAAUCAACGGUAUUCCAUGGGAGUUCAAAUCCAUAUUUUGGACGUAUUAAUGCAAUUGGUAAUUUUCAAAUUCAAUGGCAAAUUUACCUUUUUUGCGAACGGCGUAGACUUUUAAACUGUUUCAAAGCAAAUGUAAGUUUUAUUUGUUACAGGGGCAGUUUACAGAUAAAAUAAACUUUGGAUAAUAUCAUCCAGGUUGUAA
This is an RNA transcript of Lineus longissimus, 3156 nucleotides long. It is a transcript of the gene named UPAR/Ly6 domain-containing protein qvr-like, with no coding region annotated. The record is from RefSeq and is a predicted model, not a curated record. NCBI's taxonomy places the organism in Eukaryota, Metazoa, Nemertea, Pilidiophora, Heteronemertea, Lineidae. The transcript is spliced from 4 exons.